GAUGAACGCUGGCGGCGUGCCUAAUACAUGCAAGUCGAGCGAACGGACGAGAAGCUUGCUUCUCUGAUGUUAGCGGCGGACGGGUGAGUAACACGUGGAUAACCUACCUAUAGGACUGGGAUAACUUCGGGAAACCGGAGCUAAUACCGGAUGAUAUUUUGAACCGCAUGGUUCAAAAGUGAAAGACGGUCUUGCUGUCACUUAUAGAUGGAUCCGCGCUGCAUUAGCUAGUUGGUAAGGUAACGGCUUACCAAGGCAACGAUGCAUAGCCGACCUGAGAGGGUGAUCGGCCACACUGGAACUGAGACACGGUCCAGACUCCUACGGGAGGCAGCAGUAGGGAAUCUUCCGCAAUGGGCGAAAGCCUGACGGAGCAACGCCGCGUGAGUGAUGAAGGUCUUCGGAUCGUAAAACUCUGUUAUUAGGGAAGAACAUAUGUGUAAGUAACUGUACACAUCUUGACGGUACCUAAUCAGAAAGCCACGGCUAACUACGUG
Molecule: ribosomal RNA, 497 nt
Filed under: uncultured bacterium
Lineage: Bacteria
Description: partial 16S ribosomal RNA
Rfam family: Bacterial small subunit ribosomal RNA
Source: RNAcentral